This 490-nucleotide ribosomal RNA is filed under the name uncultured bacterium. RNAcentral describes it as "partial 16S ribosomal RNA". It matches the Rfam family "Bacterial small subunit ribosomal RNA", at positions 28 to 507 of the family's 1533-position model. The record is from RNAcentral.
GAUGAACGCUAGCUACAGGCUUAACACAUGCAAGUCGCGGGGCAGCAUGGGGGUUGCUUGCAAUCCCCGAUGGCGACCGGCGCACGGGUGAGUAACGCGUAUCCAACCUGCCCUUCACCACGGGAUAACCCGGCGAAAGUCGGACUAAUACCGUAUGUUGUCCAUUGACGGCAUCCGAUUUGGACGAAAGGUUUGGCGGUGAAGGAUGGGGAUGCGUCCGAUUGGCUGGACGGCGGGGGGACGGCCCACCGUGGCGACGAUCGGUAGGGGUUCUGAGAGGAAGGUCCCCCACACUGGAACUGAGAUACGGUCCAGACUCCUACGGGAGGCAGCAGUGAGGAAUAUUGGUCAAUGGGCGUAAGCCUGAACCAGCCAAGUAGCGUGCAGGAUGACGGCCCUAUGGGUUGUAAACUGCUUUUAUGCGGGGAUAAAGUGGCCCACGUGUGGGUUUUUGCAGGUACCGCAUGAAUAAGGACCGGCUAAUUCCGUG